AAACUAUUUGAAUCGAAAUUGAGAAGUGUUGAAGGAAGGAAGGGGAAGAGGGAUGGAUUGCAGGAAAUGGGGGUUUGAGUGUUGGGCGAUGUUGCAGCGGCCGCCAUCGCCGGGCUUCGAGAGAACAAAAGUUCGUGUUCAUGCAGAUUGUGGUACCUAAGGAUGUGCACCAUAGACCAGCAAGAGAAUCAAGAAGAGUGCAAAGAAGGAACAAAUAGUUAAAGUUUAACCCAAUGUACCCUGGAUCCUCUAUUUGUGCUGAAGCCUGUGUACUGUAUAAGCUGAACAUGAUGAUAUGUUCUUGUGAAGCUCUUCUAGAAGCAGCAAAGGACUAUUACCAAGAAGCAUAGGACAAAUAAUACGUAAGGGGCAGUAAGAAAAUUAAGAAGAAAAUGAUGAAUUGGGCGUUUGAUUUUGAUACCUGAGACCUGAGAGUGGAACGAAGAAGGUGAUUGACAAUGAACAUUGUGGGAUGAACUCCCUCAAGAAUGUGUUCUUAGAGCUUCAAAUGGAUAUGCACACACGUAGGACUAGAGAGUUGAAAUUUAACCACAAAUUUGCAACCGAAUCAAUAUGCUGUUCAUCCCU
Long non-coding RNA from Cucurbita pepo subsp. pepo (vegetable marrow), 588 nucleotides. RefSeq lists it as uncharacterized. The record is from RefSeq and is a predicted model, not a curated record. Lineage: Eukaryota; Viridiplantae; Streptophyta; Magnoliopsida; Cucurbitales; Cucurbitaceae.